This 253-nucleotide ribosomal RNA is filed under the name uncultured bacterium. RNAcentral describes it as "partial 16S ribosomal RNA". It matches the Rfam family "Bacterial small subunit ribosomal RNA", at positions 524 to 776 of the family's 1533-position model. The record is from RNAcentral.
UACGAAGGGGGCUAGCGUUGUUCGGAAUUACUGGGCGUAAAGCGCACGUAGGCGGCUUUGUAAGUUAGAGGUGAAAGCCCGGAGCUCAACUCCGGAACUGCCUUUAAGACUGCAUCGCUUGAAUCAUGGAGAGGUCAGUGGAAUUCCGAGUGUAGAGGUGAAAUUCGUAGAUAUUCGGAAGAACACCAGUGGCGAAGGCGACUGACUGGACAUGUAUUGACGCUGAGGUGCGAAAGCGUGGGGAGCAAACAGG